Molecule: ribosomal RNA, 254 nt
Filed under: uncultured bacterium
Lineage: Bacteria
Description: partial 16S ribosomal RNA
Rfam family: Bacterial small subunit ribosomal RNA
Source: RNAcentral
UACGUAGGGUGCAAGCGUUGUCCGGAAUUAUUGGGCGUAAAGAGCUCGUAGGCGGUCUGUCGCGUCCGUUGUGAAAACUCGAGGCUCAACCUCGGGCUUGCAGUGGAUACGGGCAGACUAGAGUGCGGUAGGGGAGACUGGAAUUCCUGGUGUAGCGGUGGAAUGCGCAGAUAUCAGGAGGAACACCGAUGGCGAAGGCAGGUCUCUGGGACGGUACUGACGCUGAGGCGCGAAAGCGUGGGGGAGCAAACAGG